ACGAAUGUUGGCGGCGUGUCUAAGGCAUGCAAGUCGAGCGGACGUAUCUGCGAUUACAUCAAGAAUACGUUAGCGGCAAACGGGAGCGUAACACAUUGGCAAUUCACCUCUAACUCGUGAAUAACCCAGGGAAACUUGGGCUAAUACGCGAUAUGACCCAGCGCAAGCUGUGUUGAAAGGUCCGCCGGUAAGAGAGAAGCCUAUGUCCUAUCAGCUAGUUGGCGGGGUAAUAGCCCACCAAGGCUAUGACGGGUACCAGGUGUGAGAGCACGACCUGGCUCACUGGGACUGAGAUACUGCCCAGACACCUACGGGUGGCUGCAGUCAAGAAUAUUCCACAAUGCACGAAAGUGUGAUGGAGCGACGCCGCGUGUCGGAUGAAGGCCUUCGGGUUGUAAACGACUGUUCUGGGGGACGAAUACUGACGGUACCCCAGCAGAAAGUGGUUGCUAACUCUGU
RNAcentral lists this ribosomal RNA (459 nucleotides) under uncultured bacterium. Its description in RNAcentral is "bacterial SSU rRNA". It matches the Rfam family "Bacterial small subunit ribosomal RNA", at positions 29 to 506 of the family's 1533-position model. The record is from RNAcentral.